RNAcentral lists this ribosomal RNA (602 nucleotides) under Circinaria podoliana. RNAcentral's name for it is "Circinaria sp. JU-2023a partial small subunit ribosomal RNA". It matches the Rfam family "Bacterial small subunit ribosomal RNA", at positions 702 to 1241 of the family's 1533-position model. The record is from RNAcentral. Lineage: Eukaryota; Fungi; Ascomycota; Lecanoromycetes; Pertusariales; Megasporaceae.
AUGACAGGCAACGGCGAAAGCAACCUUUAUAAAAAAACUGACGUUGAAAGGACGAAGGCUUUGUGUCACCAACAGGAUUAGAUACCCAAGCAGUCUUAGCAGACAAUUAUGAAUGCCAUAGAUAAGAAAUCUCUAGAUACUCUAUGGAGUACAUUUGCUUUUCUUUUUUGAUUACCCCAAAAAUUAAAGAGGAUGUAUUUAAAGAUAAUAUUUUGAUAUAUAUAAAUAUUAUCUUAAAUAAAAGGAUAUAUUUUUUGUCUAUAAAUGAAAGUGUAAGCAUUCCACCUCAAGAGUAAUGUGGCAACGCAGAAACUGAAAUCAUUAGACCGUUUCUGAAACCAGUAGUGAAGUAUGUUGUUUAAUUAGAUGGUCCGCAAAAAACCUUACCACAAUUUGUAUAUUAUUAGCUUAAUACAAGAGUUGCACGGCUGUCUUCAGUUAAUGUCGUGAGAUUUUGGUUAACUCCUUUAAAUUAACGUAAACCCUUACUUUAUUUUUUAUUAUAAAGUAGUUCCCCGCUAUAUUGGAUAUGAUAACAGGGACUAAGACAAGUCAUCAUGGCCUGAAUAUUGUGGGCUAUAGACGUGCCAGGGAUAAAAAAA